RNAcentral lists this ribosomal RNA (380 nucleotides) under uncultured eukaryote. RNAcentral describes it as "partial 18S ribosomal RNA". It matches the Rfam family "Eukaryotic small subunit ribosomal RNA", at positions 592 to 976 of the family's 1831-position model. The record is from RNAcentral.
CAAUAGCGUAUAUUUAAGUUGUUGCAGUUAAAAAGCUCGUAGUUGGAUUUCGGGUCAUCUGGGACGGUCCGCCAUUUUGGUGUGCACUGUCGCGGUUGGCCUUGUUUGUCGGUGAGGCGCUCCUGUCCUUUAUUGGGUGGGACGUCGAGUCGGCGAGGCUUCUUUGAAAAAAUUAGAGUGUUCAAAGCGGGCGAUCGCUUGAAUAUUACAGCAUGGUAAAGCGCGAUAGGACUCGGGUUCUAUUUCGCUGGUUUCUAGAACCGGAGUAAUGAUUAAGAGGAACAGUUGGGGGCAUUCGUAUUUCAUUGUCAGAGGUGAAAUUCUUGGAUUUAUGAAAGACGCACUUCUGCGAAAGCAUUUGCCAAGGAUGUUNUCAUUNA